RNAcentral lists this ribosomal RNA (676 nucleotides) under uncultured bacterium. RNAcentral describes it as "bacterial SSU rRNA". It matches the Rfam family "Bacterial small subunit ribosomal RNA", at positions 8 to 694 of the family's 1533-position model. The record is from RNAcentral.
AGAGUUUGAUCCUGGCUCAGGACGAACGCUGGCGGUGUGCUUCACACAUGCAAGUCGAGCGAAUGAAGUAGGUAGCUUGCUACUUAUGGAUUUAGCGGCGGACGGGUGAGUAAUAUAUAGGAAUCUGCCUUAGAGCGGGGAACAACAGACCGAAAGGUUUGCUAAUGCCCCAUAGGUAUGCAGUCUUCGGAUUGUAUAUUAAAGGAGUAAUCCACUCUAAGAUGAGCCUGUAUCCGAUUAGCUAGUUGGCGGGGUAAAGGCCCACCAAGGCUACGAUCGGUAGUUGGUCUGAGAGGAUGAUCAGCCACAAUGGGACUGAGACACGGCCCAUACUCCUACGGGAGGCAGCAGUGGGGAAUUUUACACAAUGGGGGAAACCCUGAUGUAGCGACACCGCGUGCACGAAAAAGCCUUUUGGGGUGUAAAGUUCUGUCGGCUGGAACGAAAAAAAUGACGGUACCAGCAAAGGAAGCAUCGGCUAACUACGUGCCAGCAGCCGCGGUAAGACGUAGGAUGCAAGCGUUGUCCGGAUUUAUUGGGCGUAAAGAGUUCGUAGGCGGUUAUUUAAGUCUGAUGUUAAAUACUGUGGCCCAACCACAGAACUGCAUUGGAUACUGGAUGACUUGAGUGCGGUAGAGGCAAGUGGAAUUCCCAGUGUAGCGGUGAAAUGCGUAGA